CUGUGCAGCCGGGGAGCUAGCGGUUCCCUGUACCUACAUCGCUAUAGUAGGGGUGAUAUCCUGCCCCGGGUUGUGAGGUGUGUAGCUGCCCUUAAUAAGUGGUAUUGACGUUUGGGUCUUACGCGACGGGAACCGGCGAACCGUGUCAGGUUGGGAACAAAGCAGCACUAAGUCGGACCUCUCGGGUGCCGUGAGGGUGCCUGGACCGAGCUAACUGUUAAGGUAACGUGCGGGCUAAGCAAUUCAAAGCAGGAUGCACAG
Molecule: signal recognition particle RNA, 261 nt
Filed under: Lachnospiraceae bacterium XBB1006
Lineage: Bacteria; Bacillati; Bacillota; Clostridia; Lachnospirales; Lachnospiraceae
Description: Bacterial large signal recognition particle RNA
Rfam family: Bacterial large signal recognition particle RNA
About the family: The signal recognition particle (SRP) is a universally conserved ribonucleoprotein involved in the co-translational targeting of proteins to membranes. Archaeal SRP consists of a 7S RNA and homologues of the eukaryotic SRP19 and SRP54 proteins.
Source: Rfam by way of RNAcentral